GCGAGCAGGCGCGUGUGACGUCGGGAGGCGCCGCGGCUCCUCGGCCGCCCCACUCGGUGGUCCCCUGUCUGGAUCCAAACUGCUGACUGGCUGACCCGAGUGGUCACAUUUGCCCUCUGGGGCUUUUGAAAACCUUAAAUCAAAAUUGCUUUUGAAUCUGACAACUCCUGAGGCUACUUUCGCGGCCUCGGGGCUGUUUCAUAUAAGGACGCGAGUUUUCCUGAUCAGGUCUGUCGGCCACGUUACGAUUUCCAAUUUGCGAUCCAUCAGUUACUUCCAUUGGGUCUUCAGCCCCCAGGGACUGUGGAUCCUAGACCCCGCGGAGAAGCCCGUGGACUGGAGCUGUGUCAGCUCUGAUGGAACAAAAACGGAGGCACAGAGAGGUCAAUUGAUUGGUCUAAUGACACAGAUCUAGCAAGUGGUGGAACCAGGACUGAAUCCAGAGAAUCUGGAAGACUACUCUGCCAAGACAUCUCAAAAAGUGUGUGUCCGGAAUUGGUGGGUUCUUGGUCUCACUGACUUCAAGAAUGAAGCCGCGGACCCUUGCGGAACUGUGAAGACUAGAGUGACCUUGGAGAUCUCAUCUGGAAGAUGGUAGAACUGCUAUCAGCCUGGCUUCCCAAAUGACCUCCUGGAUCACAGCUACCCAUGGCCUGAAAUGUUGACCUUGGAGUUGUUGCAUAGGAAAGAAAUAAACUUCUUUGUUC
This 707-nucleotide long non-coding RNA is filed under the name Homo sapiens (human). RNAcentral describes it as "HEY2 antisense RNA 1". Lineage: Eukaryota; Metazoa; Chordata; Mammalia; Primates; Hominidae. The record is from RNAcentral.